AAGAUUCUGGAUUUAGUUACAAUUGUAGUAACAUUAUAUAUAAAGUACCCAUUUUCCUAGAGACUCUCCCAGAAUAUUCUAUACAGCUAGCCACUGUGCAGUUUGGCAGUUCCUAAAAAAUUAAACAGAUGACCCAGCAUUUCCGCUUCUAGGUAUAUGCCCAAGAAAAAAUUCCAGUUUUAGUAUACUUGCUGCCGAAGCAAGCACUAAUUCUCAAAGAGUUCAUUUUCACAUGGGUAAUGAAAACCUUUUUCUGCUCCUUUACUAUUAGCAAUCAUUCCUAUUGCUUAUUCUAAAUUAAGCCUUUAUUGGCCAGGCAUAGUGGCUCACGCUAUAAUCCUAGCACUUUGGAAGGCCGAGGUGGAAUAAUCCCUUGAGCCUAGGAGUUUGAGACUAGCCUGGGCAACAUAGUAAGACCCCGGUCUCCAUAAAUAAUAAAAAA
This 442-nucleotide long non-coding RNA is filed under the name Pan troglodytes (chimpanzee). RNAcentral's name for it is "long non-coding RNA NONPTRT014717". Lineage: Eukaryota; Metazoa; Chordata; Mammalia; Primates; Hominidae. The record is from RNAcentral.